RNAcentral lists this ribosomal RNA (464 nucleotides) under uncultured Klebsiella sp. RNAcentral's name for it is "bacterial SSU rRNA". It matches the Rfam family "Bacterial small subunit ribosomal RNA", at positions 338 to 795 of the family's 1533-position model. Lineage: Bacteria; Pseudomonadati; Pseudomonadota; Gammaproteobacteria; Enterobacterales; Enterobacteriaceae. The record is from RNAcentral.
CCUACGGGAGGCAGCAGUGGGGAAUAUUGCACAAUGGGCGCAAGCCUGAUGCAGCCAUGCCGCGUGUGUGAAGAAGGCCUUCGGGUUGUAAAGCACUUUCAGCGGGGAGGAAGGCGUUAAGGUUAAUAACCUUGGCGAUUGACGUUACCCGCAGAAGAAGCACCGGCUAACUCCGUGCCAGCAGCCGCGGUAAUACGGAGGGUGCAAGCGUUAAUCGGAAUUACUGGGCGUAAAGCGCACGCAGGCGGUCUGUCAAGUCGGAUGUGAAAUCCCCGGGCUCAACCUGGGAACUGCAUUCGAAACUGGCAGGCUAGAGUCGUGUAGAGGGGGGUAGAAUUCCAGGUGUAGCGGUGAAAUGCGUAGAGAUCUGGAGGAAUACCGGGGGCGAAGGCGGCCCCCUGGACAAAGACUGACGCUCAGGUGCGAAAGCGUGGGGAGCAAACAGGAUUAGUACCCGAGUAGUC